CAGCCGCCGCGGGAAUACGGAGGGUGCAAGCGUUAAUCGGAAUUACUGGGCGUAAAGCGUGCGUAGGCGGUUCGUUAAGUCUGUUGUGAAAGCCCCGGGCUCAACCUGGGAAUGGCAAUGGAUACUGGCGAGCUAGAGUGUGUCAGAGGAUGGUGGAAUUCCCGGUGUAGCGGUGAAAUGCGUAGAGAUCGGGAGGAACAUCAGUGGCGAAGGCGGCCAUCUGGGACAACACUGACGCUGAGGCACGAAAGCGUGGGAGCAAACAGGAUUAGAUACCCCGGUAGUCCCUGUCUCUUAUACA
RNAcentral lists this ribosomal RNA (301 nucleotides) under uncultured bacterium. Its description in RNAcentral is "partial 16S ribosomal RNA". It matches the Rfam family "Bacterial small subunit ribosomal RNA", at positions 509 to 808 of the family's 1533-position model. The record is from RNAcentral.